Molecule: transfer RNA, 73 nt
Filed under: Erysimum angustatum
Lineage: Eukaryota; Viridiplantae; Streptophyta; Magnoliopsida; Brassicales; Brassicaceae
Description: tRNA-Glu
Source: RNAcentral
GCCCCCAUCGUCKAGWGGUUCAGGACAUCUCUCUUUCAAGGAGGCAGCGGGGAUUCGACUUCCCCUGGGGGUA